This 486-nucleotide ribosomal RNA is filed under the name uncultured bacterium. Its description in RNAcentral is "bacterial SSU rRNA". It matches the Rfam family "Bacterial small subunit ribosomal RNA", at positions 28 to 526 of the family's 1533-position model. The record is from RNAcentral.
GACGAACGCUGGCGGCGUGCUUAACACAUGCAAGUCGAACGAUGAACUGGAGCUUGCUUCAGGGAUUAGUGGCGAACGGGUGAGUAACACGUGAGUAACCUGCCCUUGACUCUGGGAUAAGCGCUGGAAACGGCGUCUAAUACCGGAUAUGACCUUCCCCGGCAUCGGGUGGGGGUGGAAAGAUUUUUUGGUCAAGGAUGGACUCGCGGCCUAUCAGCUUGUUGGUGAGGUAAUGGCUUACCAAGGCGACGACGGGUAGCCGGCCUGAGAGGGUGACCGGCCACACUGGGACUGAGACACGGCCCAGACUCCUACGGGAGGCAGCAGUGGGGAAUAUUGCACAAUGGGCGCAAGCCUGAUGCAGCAACGCCGCGUGAGGGAUGACGGCCUUCGGGUUGUAAACCUCUUUUAGCAGGGAAGAAGCGAAAGUGACGGUACCUGCAGAAAAAGCACCGGCUAACUACGUGCCAGCCGCCGCAGUAAAAC